Pelobates cultripes (western spadefoot toad) is the source of this 2666-nucleotide non-coding RNA. The record is from the annotation of a GenBank genome assembly. NCBI's taxonomy places the organism in Eukaryota, Metazoa, Chordata, Amphibia, Anura, Pelobatidae.
CACUGUGUUAACCUCAACCACUUCAGCUGGAAGGCUAUGCCAUGCAUCCACUACCCUCUCAGUAAAGUAAUACUUCCUGAUAUUAUUUUUAAACCUUUGCCCCUUUAAUUUAAGACUAAGUCCUAUUGUUGUGGUAGGUUUUCUUCUUUUAAAUAUAGUCUCCUUUACUGUGUUGAUUCCCUUUAUGCAUUUAAAUGUUUCUAUCAUAUCCCCCCUGUCUCGUCUUUCCUCCAAGAUAUACAUGUUAAGUUCCUUUAACCUUUCCUGGUAAGUUUUAUCCCCAUAUAUACAAAUGUAUAAGAGAGAUCUGACUUUUUUUUUCUCCAAGUGAAUAAUUAGUAAAUAUGUAUGAUUUACUAAAGAUUGAGUGUAUUUUUUAUUUUGAACAGGCAUCACAUCAGAGAAUUUAAAACAGAACAUGUAUUUAACCACAAAUGCCUUUGGACAUUUGUAAGCAAAUAUUAUGUGAAAUACAGCAUUUUGGUUGUUAUCGUAAAGGCCAAACCAUAAGGCAUAUAGUUGUAUUAAUAGGUCAUUGGUUAUAUUUUUCUCAGUGUCAUGCUUUCGUGUUUGAUCAUUCUCACUGAGAAUCACCAAAUAUAGUCAUCUGCAAUCUGAAUUAUCAGUGCUUUAGUGGCGACUUACCUUUAGUAAGGGCUCUUAAAGAUCUAAACACAUUUUAUAUAUUUUGGGCAAAGCAGUUUAUUUUAUAUAAACACAGAACUCUGUUCAUAUUUAAUUAGGGUAACAUCUUUGUGAAAUGCUCAUGAAAAGAUUGUGUUGGAAUUUCACUGAAGUUCUAACUCAGUCAAAAUAUAUCAUAAAGCAAAGUAAGGACUUCUUCGUCUUAUGUAUUUUUCCUAUGCUUGACAAAAAGGUGGAGCUACUGCUUUCAAAUUUUGCCAAGCCAUGGGGAAAAGGCUUUGUCUCUAGAGGCCCCUGAGGUCUGGCAAUAUCUUCCAUAAACAUUAGUGUUUUACUAUUGUGCAUGCACAAGAGUACAGCACUGAUGCUGGCUCCUUGCUGGCUCCUUGCUCGAGCUCCAAGCACUAGGAGCUGAAAAGGAUGCACCAGAUCAAGAUGGUGGCAGCUGCGAGGCAAGUAAGUAAAUAUACCUUCCACUACACCUCCGGGGGUCUAUGCGAAAAAUGUAAAAACCAAGUUGACAGAGUCGCUUCAAGAAAUUAUAAUCACAAAAAUAAUUAUUUUAGAUAACCUAAUCUUACAUAGACUUCAACGAAGGACAUACUAUUGUUGUAAAUAAGUCAAUUAUCCUGCCAGUUUAUAGAUUGAAACAAUUAUCAUUGUUGUUACUUAGAAAGAUACGUUGGACAUGUAGGAACAAAAAGGUGUUGAGGUCCCUGCCCUAACUAGUUGCCCUCUAUGGAGAGUGGGGUACAAUCGUACAAGAAAUUAAAACAAUCUAUAUACAGCUGGCUUUUUUUAAGUCUUUAAGCAAUAUACGCGGUUAUGGUUGGAUUUAUAUCACAUUUUUCCUUACACAUAUAGGCGAAAGGUGUACCCUCUUUCCUUAAGUUUAUCCAACUCUGGUAUACCCACAGCCUGCUUGUUUCUGGUGGGAUGGGGGUUGUAAAAAUGUUAUAAUUCAGUUAUUUUGUAAUUCACUGCAAUUUGAUGCUUAUUGCAAAUACUAUAAUGAUUUGUGGCUGCAAUUUAAUGGCACCCAGUUUUACAAAAUCACCAACCAAGUUAUCAAAUUUGGGGGGAAUAAUAAACCUGUAGCUUAUUUGCAAGAUAAUUAUUAACCCAUCUUGACAAACAGCUAGCGAAAAGAUCCCUUAAUUCUGUUCAUCUCUCGACCACAGAACCGUAUCGAGGAGACCAAUUGUAUAAAUUGUGUAAAUUACUUUUCCUAAUUUUCUGUAAGUACGUACAAUGUCUGCUUUUGCUGUAGUUAAAUUUAAAAAAGUGAUAAGCAUAAGAGAAUCAUUUUCAAGACCACAUGCUGGUAUGACCUUCCUGAAGGUUUUUCAAGCACUGAUGAGGCUCAUUUUUAUACAUGCUCCUGUUACCACAUCUGAAUACUAAAUGAAAACGCACGGAAAAGAAAAUCUCAAGUGGUAUACCUUUUUAAGUCGAGAAAGGCUUACCUAAUGGUAUUACAUGACUUCUCCUUGAAUGUUUUAAUGAUGAACAGAGCUUAAUGUACAGUAAGUUGCUGUACUUUCGAAAGAGAAUUCCAUUGAAUAAAUGUUGAUGUUUAAAUGUUGUAGGUGCUCUAUAGCACACAGCACACUGAGGUUUUGGAUGAUCAGAUACAUUUCUGCUCAUUAUAACAGCGGUAAUGUACGAUAAGUAAAAUAAAAUAUGCUGCAUAAUAUGAUCUAAGCUUCAAACAAGCAAUAUAAGAUUUGUCAAAACAAAUAAAUAAGAGGUGUAAUAAUGUACAUAUUGAGAAAGUAUGUAAUAAAUAUAAAAAAGUGUAUUAGUAAAAAAUGUAUUUAAAAAGACUUGACUACUGCUCUAGUGCCAUGUGUGGUUUAAACAGGUCAAAUAAAUAUAGAGACAUAUGUAUAUGCCACAGACAUUUUGUACUAUGAUCAUUUUAUUUUAUCGUUACAGACAUUGUUACAGACAUGUGGUACGUAUUUGUAUUACAGAAUGUAACUUAAAAAUCUUCAUUUUGUUUGUCAUUCCUUGUUUCA